This 492-nucleotide ribosomal RNA is filed under the name uncultured bacterium. Its description in RNAcentral is "partial 16S ribosomal RNA". It matches the Rfam family "Bacterial small subunit ribosomal RNA", at positions 29 to 507 of the family's 1533-position model. The record is from RNAcentral.
AGUGAACGCUGGCGGUAUGCCUAACACAUGCAAGUCGAGCGACCGCACAGUAAGAGCUUGCUCUUACGGGUGGCGAGUGGCGGGCGAGUAACGAAUACAUAAGCAUCUUCUUUUUCUUGGGUGAUAACGGAGGACAGCUGCCGCUAAUACCGAAUAUUUCCUACCGCUUAGUUCAGGAGAGAUUCAGACCCUGGCUGAUUCAUUGAGACGGAGUCGGAUUAGCUAGUCGGCUGGGUAAAGGCACGCCAAGGCAACGAUCCGUAGCUGGUCUGAGAGGAUGAUCGGCCACACUGGAACUGAGACACGGUCCAGACUCCUACGGGAGGCAGCAGUGGGGAAUAUUGGACAAUGGGCGCAAGCCUGAUCCAGCCAUACCGCGUGAGUGAAGAAGGUCUUCGGAUUGUAAAGCCCUGUUGUUGGGAAAGAAAAUCAGCAUGUUAAUAUGCCGAUAUCCUGACGGUACCCAAAGAGUAAGCACCGGCUAACUUCGUG